CCGAACCCGUCGGCUGUCAGCGG
Molecule: non-coding RNA, 23 nt
Filed under: Arabidopsis thaliana (thale cress)
Lineage: Eukaryota; Viridiplantae; Streptophyta; Magnoliopsida; Brassicales; Brassicaceae
Source: RNAcentral